UACGAGAGGCCCAAACGUUAUUCGGAAUUACUGGGCUUAAAGAGUUCGUAGGCGGCAUUGCAAGUAGGGUGUGAAAGCCCCCGGCUCAACCGGGGAAUGGCGCCCUAAACUGUCGGGCUGGAGUGAGAUAGGGGUGUGCGGAACUUCCGGUGGAGCGGUGAAAUGUGUUGAUAUCGGAAGGAACGCCGGUGGCGAAAGCGGCACACUGGAUCUCAACUGACGCUGAGGCACGAAAGCCAGGGGAGCGAACGGG
RNAcentral lists this ribosomal RNA (253 nucleotides) under uncultured bacterium. RNAcentral's name for it is "partial 16S ribosomal RNA". It matches the Rfam family "Bacterial small subunit ribosomal RNA", at positions 524 to 776 of the family's 1533-position model. The record is from RNAcentral.